AUACAUUAAAUUACCGCUGACAGUGACUGCACCCGUCCCCAUUAUCCUGAAACGUCUUUUUUAAAUUUAAAAUUCAACGAAAAUAAUUCCAUUUUUAAAAUAUUUGUUUGAAUAUCAAUGGAAGGUUUUUUGUCUAUCGAGAUUAACAACGUUUUGUUAUGCACAAUACAUAGUGUCAUUUUACUUUAUUACGAAGCUUUAAAUCAAGUGCUUAUUUAUCUUUCGUUUUGUACGGUC
Non-coding RNA from Cinara cedri, 237 nucleotides. Lineage: Eukaryota; Metazoa; Arthropoda; Insecta; Hemiptera; Aphididae. The record is from the annotation of a GenBank genome assembly.